RNAcentral lists this long non-coding RNA (397 nucleotides) under Mytilus galloprovincialis (Mediterranean mussel). The record is from RNAcentral. Lineage: Eukaryota; Metazoa; Mollusca; Bivalvia; Mytilida; Mytilidae.
CAGCUACAUUUGGUUAUCUUAAGUUUUAAUUCAUUUUAUUCCGUUUAGUUCCUUUCUACAUAAGUGCAGAGGAGAACUGCAGUUGUCCGCAUGUAAACUUUUAGCAUUUAUUACCAAUAUGAGUACAUAGCAAUCCGUUACUGUUUCAACACCCAGGGAAGUUUCAUGUCUUUAUUCUCAAACAGUUAUUAUUUUUUUUCUAUCUUUUUUUAUUAAUGCAUCACUUCCUACUGUCCUUAUCUAUUAUUCUAUAUAUUCUGUGUUUCCAUCCAGAUUCUCGUGUAUACAAUGAGGGUCCGGAUUGGGGGUGUUGUUUAUUUCUAUAUUCUUUAAAUUGUCUGUUACUUUUCUCUACAUUUUAUUUUAUCUUACUCAUUAUUAUUUCUUUAUUCUUUAU